GACGAACGCUGGCGGCGUGCCUAAUACAUGCAAGUUGAGCGAUGAAGAUUGGUGCUUGCACCAAUUUGAAGAGCAGCGAACGGGUGAGUAACGCGUGGGGAAUCUGCCUUUGAGCGGGGGACAACAUUUGGAAACGAAUGCUAAUACCGCAUAAUAACUUUAAACAUAAGUUUUAAGUUUGAAAGAUGCAAUUGCAUCACUCAAAGAUGAUCCCGCGUUGUAUUAGCUAGUUGGUGAGGUAAAGGCUCACCAAGGCGAUGAUACAUAGCCGACCUGAGAGGGUGAUCGGCCACAUUGGGACUGAGACACGGCCCAAACUCCUACGGGAGGCAGCAGUAGGGAAUCUUCGGCAAUGGACGGAAGUCUGACCGAGCAACGCCGCGUGAGUGAAGAAGGUUUUCGGAUCGUAAAACUCUGUUGGUAGAGAAGAACGUUGGUGAGAGUGGAAAGCCCAUCAAGUGACGGUAACUACCCAGAAAGGGACGGCUAACUACGUG
Molecule: ribosomal RNA, 497 nt
Filed under: uncultured bacterium
Lineage: Bacteria
Description: partial 16S ribosomal RNA
Rfam family: Bacterial small subunit ribosomal RNA
Source: RNAcentral